AGCAGCGUGGCUUAGUGGUUAGAGCAUGGGCCUGGGAGCCAAAAGGCCUGGGUUCUAAUCCUGACUCUGCCU
This 72-nucleotide transfer RNA is filed under the name Ornithorhynchus anatinus (platypus). It matches the Rfam family "tRNA". From Rfam's summary of the family: Transfer RNA (tRNA) molecules are approximately 80 nucleotides in length. Their secondary structure includes four short double-helical elements and three loops (D, anti-codon, and T loops). The record is from Rfam by way of RNAcentral. Lineage: Eukaryota; Metazoa; Chordata; Mammalia; Monotremata; Ornithorhynchidae.